Molecule: ribosomal RNA, 970 nt
Filed under: uncultured Stenotrophomonas sp.
Lineage: Bacteria; Pseudomonadati; Pseudomonadota; Gammaproteobacteria; Lysobacterales; Lysobacteraceae
Description: bacterial SSU rRNA
Rfam family: Bacterial small subunit ribosomal RNA
Source: RNAcentral
UGCAAGUCGAACGGCACACAGAGGACUUGCUCCUUGGGUGGCGAGUGGCGGACGGGUGAGGAAUACAUCGGAAUCUACUUUUUCGUGGGGGAUAACGUAGGGAAACUUACGCUAAUACCGCAUACGACCUACGGGUGAAAGCAGGGGACCUUCGGGCCUUGCGCGAUUGAAUGAGCCGAUGUCGGAUUAUCUAGUUGGCGGGGUAAAGGCCCACCAAGGCGACGAUCCGUAGCUGGUCUGAGAGGAUGAUCACCCACACUGGAACUGAGACACGGUCCAGACUCCUACGGGAGGCAGCAGUGGGGAAUAUUGGACAAUGGGCGCAAGCCUGAUCCAGCCAUACCGCGUGGGUGAAGAAGGCCUUCGGGUUGUAAAGCCCUUUUGUUGGGAAAGAAAUCCAGCUGGCUAAUACCCGGUUGGGAUGACGGUACCCAAAGAAUAAGCACCGGCUAACUUCGUGCCAGCAGCCGCGGUAAUACGAAGGGUGCAAGCGUUACUCGGAAUUACUGGGCGUAAAGCGUGCGUAGGUGGUCGUUUAAGUCCGUUGUGAAAGCCCUGGGCUCAACCUGGGAACUGCAGUGGAUACUGGGCGACUAGAGUGUGGUAAGGGUAGCGGAAUUCCUGGUGUAGCAGUGAAAUGCGUAGAGAUCAGGAGGAACAUCCAUGGCGAAGGCAGCUACCUGGACCAACACUGACACUGAGGCACGAAAGCGUGGGGAGCAAACAGGAUUAGAUACCCCUGGUAGUCCACGCCCUAAACGAUGCGAACUGGAUGUUGGGUGCAAUUUGGCACGCAGUAUCGAAGCUAACGCGUUAAGUUCGCCGCCUGGGGAGUACGGUCGCAAGACUGAAACUCAAGGGAUUUGACGGGGCCCGCACAAGCGGUGGAGUAUGUGGUUUAUUCGAUGCAACGCGAGAACCUUACCUGGCCUUGACAUGUCGAGACUUUCCAGAAAUGGAAUGGGUGCCU